GAUGAACGCUGGCGGCGUGCCUAAUACAUGCAAGUCGAGCGAACAGAUAAGGAGCUUGCUCCUUUGACGUUAGCGGCGGACGGGUGAGUAACACGUGGGUAACCUACCUAUAAGACUAGGAUAACUUCGGGAAACCGGAGCUAAUACCGGAUAACAUUUGGAACCGCAUGGUUCUAAAGUGAAAGAUGGUUUUGCUAUCACUUAUAGAUGGACCCGCGCCGUAUUAGCUAGUUGGUAAGGUAACGGCUUACCAAGGCAACGAUACGUAGCCGACCUGAGAGGGUGAUCGGCCACACUGGAACUGAGACACGGUCCAGACUCCUACGGGAGGCAGCAGUAGGGAAUCUUCCGCAAUGGGCGAAAGCCUGACGGAGCAACGCCGCGUGAGUGAUGAAGGGUUUCGGCUCGUAAAACUCUGUUAUUAGGGAAGAACAAAUGUGUAAGUAACUGUGCACGUCUUGACGGUACCUAAUCAGAAAGCCACGGCUAACUACGUG
Molecule: ribosomal RNA, 497 nt
Filed under: uncultured bacterium
Lineage: Bacteria
Description: partial 16S ribosomal RNA
Rfam family: Bacterial small subunit ribosomal RNA
Source: RNAcentral